This 636-nucleotide ribosomal RNA is filed under the name Wilcoxina mikolae. RNAcentral describes it as "eukaryotic LSU rRNA". The stretch from base 259 to 412 matches the Rfam family "5.8S ribosomal RNA". Lineage: Eukaryota; Fungi; Ascomycota; Pezizomycetes; Pezizales; Pyronemataceae. The record is from RNAcentral.
CUUGGUCAUUUAGAGGAAGUAAAAGUCGUAACAAGGUUUCCGUAGGUGAACCUGCGGAAGGAUCAUUAAAAGAAAUUGGUUAUACAUUUCAUGUAUCAACUGUUUAAACCCAUUCUGUGUACCUUGCCUGUUGCUUCCAUGGAGCCUGACUUUGGUCACUCUUGUGAUGUAAAUCCCAAGGGGAGUCCCCAUGGAAGGUCAUCAAUAAAACUCAUGUAUCCAAUGUCUUCUGUCUGAACUGUUUAUAACAAUUGUUAAAACUUCCAACAACGGAUCUCUUGGUUCUCGCAUCGAUGAAGAACGCAGCGAAAUGCGAUAAGUAGUGUGAAUUGCAGAAUUCAGUGAAUCAUCGAAUCUUUGAACGCACAUUGCGCCUCCUGGUAUUCCGGGAGGCAUGCCUGUUCGAGCGUCAUUAAAUACCUCUCAAGCACCAUUGCCUGGUCAUGGAAGAUGAGUAUGCUUGCAUUCUCCCUUCUGAAAUUCAAAGGCGGAUCAUCUCAUAUUCCCUGGCGUAGUAAGUGUUUAUCUUUCGCUUGGAGUGUCUGACAGUCUUGCCAUCGACCCCCAUUAUUUCAAGGUUGACCUCGGAUCGGGUAGGGAUACCCGCUGAACUUAAGCAUAUCAAUAAGCGGAGGA